CAGCCGCCGCGGUAAUGCGUAGGUAGCAAGCGUUGUCCGGAAUUAUUGGGCGUAAAGGGCUCGCAGGCGGUUUCUUAAGUCUGACGUGAAAGCCCCCGGCUCAACCGGGGAGGGUCAUUGGAAACUGGGAAACUUGAGUGCAGAAGAGGAGAGUGGAAUUCCACGUGUAGCGGUGAAAUGCGUAGAGAUGUGGAGGAACACCAGUGGCGAAGGCGACUCUCUGGUCUGUAACUGACGCUGAGGAGCGAAAGCGUGGGGAGCGAACAGGAUUAGAUACCCGAGUAGUCCCUGUCUCUUAUAC
This 301-nucleotide ribosomal RNA is filed under the name uncultured bacterium. RNAcentral describes it as "partial 16S ribosomal RNA". It matches the Rfam family "Bacterial small subunit ribosomal RNA", at positions 509 to 807 of the family's 1533-position model. The record is from RNAcentral.